Molecule: ribosomal RNA, 1345 nt
Filed under: uncultured bacterium
Lineage: Bacteria
Description: bacterial SSU rRNA
Rfam family: Bacterial small subunit ribosomal RNA
Source: RNAcentral
GAUGAACGCUAGCGGGAGGCCUAACACAUGCAAGCCGAGCGGUAUUGUUUCUUCGGAAAUGAGAGAGCGGCGUACGGGUGCGGAACACGUGUGCAACCUGCCUUUAUCUGGGGGAUAGCCUUUCGAAAGGAAGAUUAAUACUCCAUAAUAUAUUGAACGGCAUCGUUUAAUAUUGAAAGCUCCGGCGGAUAGAGAUGGGCACGCGCAAGAUUAGCUAGUUGGUGAGGUAACGGCUCACCAAGGCGAUGAUCUUUAGGGGGCCUGAGAGGAUGAUCCCCCACACUGGUACUGAGACACGGACCAGACUCCUACGGGAGGCAGCAGUGAGGAAUAUUGGUCAAUGGGUGCAAGCCUGAACCAGCCAUCCCGCGUGAAGGACGACUGCCCUAUGGGUUGUAAACUUCUUUUGUAUAGGGAUAAACCUACCCUCGUGAGGGUAGCUGAAGGUACUAUACGAAUAAGCACCGGCUAACUCCGUGCCAGCAGCCGCGGUAAUACGGAGGGUGCAGGCGUUAUCCGGAUUUAUUGGGUUUAAAGGGUCCGUAGGCGGACUUAUAAGUCAGUGGUGAAAGCCUGUCGCUUAACGAUAGAACUGCCAUUGAUACUGUAAGUCUUGAGUAUAUUUGAGGUAGCUGGAAUAAGUAGUGUAGCGGUGAAAUGCAUAAAUAUUACUUAGAACACCAAUUGCGAAGGCAGGUUACCAAGAUAUAACUGACGCUGAGGGACGAAAGCGUGGGGAGCGAAGAGGAUUAGAUACCCUGGUAGUCCACGCCGUAAACGAUGCUAACUCGUUUUUGGGCUUUAGGGUUCAGAGACCAAGCGAAAGUGAUAAGUUAGCCACCUGGGGAGUACGCUCGCAAGAGUGAAACUCAAAGGAAUUGACGGGGGCCCGCACAAGCGGUGGAUUAUGUGGUUUAAUUCGAUGAUACGCGAGGAACCUUACCAAGACUUAAAUGGGAAUUGACAGCUUUAGAAAUAGAGCUUUCUUCGGACAAUUUUCAAGGUGCUGCAUGGUUGUCGUCAGCUCGUGCCGUGAGGUGUUAGGUUAAGUCCUGCAACGAGCGCAACCCCUGUCACUAGUUGCCAUCAUUCAGUUGGGGACUCUAGUGAGACUGCCUACGCAAGUAGAGAGGAAGGUGGGGAUGACGUCAAAUCAUCACGGCCCUUACGUCUUGGGCCACACACGUAAUACAAUGGCCGGUACAGAGGGCAGCUACACAGCGAUGUGAUGCAAAUCUCGAAAGCCGGUCUCAGUUCGGAUUGGAGUCUGCAACUCGACUCUAUGAAGCUGGAAUCGCUAGUAAUCGCGCAUCAGCCAUGGCGCGGUGAAUACGUUCCCGGGCCU